UUCGCACCUCAUGCAUCUUAUUUAUUAUAUUUAUGUGGUUGUGAAUUAUUAAAUGUGUAUAUAUAAUUGUGUGGUGUAAAAAGGAAAAGAAAAUAAAAGAAAAAUAAAUUAGUUUUGGUGGUGGGACCCACCACCACUUAAAGUGGCAAAAGGCCACCAUUGGCCUCACAAAUUCUCUCUCUCCCGUAAGUCUCUCCCUCUCUCUCCUCCUAUUUCUAGAGUUUUUCUUUUUCUUUUGGUUUCAAUCUUUAAACUUAGAUUUCUCCCUUAAUUUUUGAUAUUUUUAGGAGCCGUUUACGACAAAACGGAAAGUGCGUCGAGAUCUUCGAUUUGAUUGGAGCAAAGGUGGUUUUAGUGCACCCUAAGAAUUUCGAAUUCUAGGGUUUGGAUUGGGCAAAUUGGGGGUUUUUGCAAUUCUUGAGGUCACGAGAAGGAAGUAGCGGACGACGCCGCUCCACAGGUCUUGAUGGGCAUAAAUAUAUGAUCAAGUUUUUCAACCAGCACAAUCAUCCACAUUUUCUACAAUCAAACAAUUCACCUGUCCUUCAUUUUGCAAAGAGCCAAUCCUUAAGAGAGAAGGGGUAUCCGAUUACCUGGUGUUCUCCAAGCUAAGCAAAUUCUUCGCCAAUCUCUUCUGACUACAGGUUCAGUAGCUUCAAAAGAAGUAUAGGCUGGGAGAAGAGGAUUCAAACCUAGGAUCAUAGGAUGGGGCACUUAAAAAUGUUGUUAGUGAAAUAUAAAGUUUGAUAAAUUAGUAUGUAAACAUUUUUUGUAAAUAUUUUUUUUCAAUAUAUGUUUACCUCUAUAUGGAAAAGUUUCAAUUUUUAACUUCGACUAUAAGCUCUCCUGAGUCAAAAUUUCUACAAUUAAAAUGCCUUGUUUUUUGUUUUAUUUUAUUUUUUUAUUCUAUCAAACAGAUCUAAAAGAAUUUUCAAAUGAAAAGGCUUUUAAUCUCUCCAACAGUAAUGCCAUAAAAUCAUUUCCUGCACUCAAAUGGUAGUAUUCUAUACUUCAUUCCAUUCCCAUCUUACGAAUAAAUUUACAAUUGAAUUUUACAUAUCAUAUAGACUCUAUUUGAUACAUAAAAUUUGGAUGAAAUCAAAUAAAAUGUGAAAAUGUUUUUUUUUUUUUUUUAAAUAAUGUGAUAUUUAAUAGUGCUUGGCGUGACACUAGAUGAAGAACUGGGUAUGGCUCUGAUACCAACUGUAACGGGCGGGUGCUUUGCGAUCCGACCCAAAAGUUUAAAUUGUUAUGUGAGGCUAACACCCAACCUAUAUAUAUCCAUUCACUUUUCUAUCCAGAUCCAAUGUGGGACAAGUCCCCACUUGUAACACCACCCCACCAUACUUGCAAAGAUAAUCCUUUUGAUUCUCGUGAAUAGGGCUAUAACUUGCGUGGGUUGAAGGUACAACUCAAACCCAACAUAACAUAUACAAUAUUCAUGAUUCGUCGUAUCGCCCGAUACGCGGCAUAUCGUUUGAUUCGUAACUCUUUUCCAAAGGUCCGAUACCGUUAAAUACCCUCAUGAGCCAGCCGGUUCAACCAGUUUAGACCGAUAUUUACCCAAGUCCGUUACAUCACGACCGCGAACCAUGACAAUAUUUAACUUUAAUUUGACUUUCAACUCUAGCUAAGUACUAUUCAAUCUAAGCACAAUCAAUCUUUGAAUUUUUAAACUCGAAUUUGUAACUUUGGUUGGAAAUUCAGGCUGGAAAAUCGAGUUAAUUCGAAUUAUUCAUAUGUCCAAUCUACAUUUGAAAAUUUAAGGUGUUCUUUAGUUAGUUUAAGAUUAAAUUACUCAUAAGCAAAAAAGUAGAAAUAAAAAAAAAUAAAAAUAAAAAAAAAAAAAAAAA
This is a long non-coding RNA of Cornus florida, 1853 nucleotides long. RefSeq lists it as uncharacterized. The record is from RefSeq and is a predicted model, not a curated record. The transcript is spliced from 3 exons. NCBI's taxonomy places the organism in Eukaryota, Viridiplantae, Streptophyta, Magnoliopsida, Cornales, Cornaceae.